GAGUUUGAUCAUGGCUCAGAAUUGGACGCUGGCGGGCCAGGCCUAACACAUGCAAGUCGAACGGUAACAGGAAAGCAGCUUUGCUUCUUUGCUGACCGAGUGGCGGACGAGUGAGGUAAUGUCUGGGAAACUGCCCUGAUGGAGGGGGGAUAACUACUGGAAACGGUAGCUAAUACCGCAUAACGUCGCAAGACCAAAGAGGGGGACCUUUCGGGCCUCUUGCCAUCGGAUGUGCCCCAGAUGGGAUUAGCUAGUAGGUGGGGUAACGGCUCACCUAGGCGACGAUCCCUAGCUGGUCUGAGAGGAUGACCAGCCACACUGGAACUGAGACACGGUCCAGACUCCUACGGGAGGCAGCAGUGGGGAAUAUUGCACAAUGGGCGCAAGCCUGAUGCAGCCAUGCCGCGUGUAUGAAGAAGGCCUUCGGGUUGUAAAGUACUUUCAGCGGGGAGGAAGGGAGUAAAGUUAAUACCUUUGCUCAUUGACGUUACCCGCAGAAGAAGCACCGGCUAACUCCGUGCCAGCAGCCGCGGUAAUACGGAGGGUGCAAGCGUUAAUCGGAAUUACUGGGCGUAAAGCGCACGCAGGCGGUUUGUUAAGUCAGAUGUGAAAUCCCCGGGCUCAACCUGGGAACUGCAUCUGAUACUGGCAAGCUUGAGUCUCGUAGAGGGGGGUAGAAUUCCAGGUGUAGCGGUGAAAUGCGUAGAGAUCUGGAGGAAUACCGGUGGCGAAGGCGGCCCCCUGGACGAAGACUGACGCUCAGGUGCGAAAGCGUGGGGAGCAAACAGGAUUAGAUCCCCUGGUAGUCCACGCCGU
This 816-nucleotide ribosomal RNA is filed under the name uncultured bacterium. RNAcentral's name for it is "bacterial SSU rRNA". It matches the Rfam family "Bacterial small subunit ribosomal RNA", at positions 9 to 803 of the family's 1533-position model. The record is from RNAcentral.